UUAAACUGAAGAGUUUGAUCCUGGCUCAGAUUGAACGCUGGUGGCAUGCUUAACACAUGCAAGUCGAACGGUAACAGGUCUUAGGAUGCUGACGAGUGGCGGACGGGUGAGUAACGCGUAGGAAUCUGCCCAUUUGAGGGGGAUACCAGUUGGAAACGACUGUUAAUACCGCAUAAUAUCUGUGGAUUAAAGGUGGCUUUCGGGCUGUCGCAGAUGGAUGAGCCUGCGUUGGAUUAGCUAGUUGGUGGGGUAAGGGCCCACCAAGGCUACGAUCCAUAGCUGAUUUGAGAGGAUGAUCAGCCACAUUGGG
Molecule: ribosomal RNA, 310 nt
Filed under: Francisella tularensis
Lineage: Bacteria; Pseudomonadati; Pseudomonadota; Gammaproteobacteria; Thiotrichales; Francisellaceae
Description: bacterial SSU rRNA
Rfam family: Bacterial small subunit ribosomal RNA
Source: RNAcentral